CCUACGGGGGGCUGCAGUCGAGAAUCAUUCACAAUGGGGGAAACCCUGAUGGAGCGACGCCGCGUGGGGGAAUGAAGGUCUUCGGAUUGUAAACCCCUGUCAUGUGGGAGCAAAUUAAAAAGAUAGUACCACAAGAGGAAGAGACGGCUAACUCUGUGCCAGCAGCCGCGGUAAUACAGAGGUCUCAAGCGUUGUUCGGAAUCACUGGGCGUAAAGCGUGCGUAGGCUGUUUCGUAAGUCGUGUGUGAAAGGCGCGGGCUCAACCCGCGGACGGCACAUGAUACUGAGAGACUAGAGUAAUGGAGGGGGAACCGGAAUUCUCGGUGUAGCAGUGAAAUGCGUAGAUAUCGGGAGGAACACUCGUGGCGAAGGCGGGUUCCUGGACAUUAACUGACGCUGAGGCACGAAGGCCAGGGGAGCGAAAAGGAUUAGAUACCCUUGUAGUC
Molecule: ribosomal RNA, 446 nt
Filed under: uncultured bacterium
Lineage: Bacteria
Description: partial 16S ribosomal RNA
Rfam family: Bacterial small subunit ribosomal RNA
Source: RNAcentral